This 433-nucleotide ribosomal RNA is filed under the name uncultured bacterium. RNAcentral describes it as "partial 16S ribosomal RNA". It matches the Rfam family "Bacterial small subunit ribosomal RNA", at positions 29 to 507 of the family's 1533-position model. The record is from RNAcentral.
AGCGAACGCUGGCGGCAGGCUUAACACAUGCAAGUCGAGCGGGCACUUCGGUGUCAGCGGCAGACGGGUGAGUAAUACGUGGGAACGUACCCUUUGGUUCGGAAUAACGCUGGGAAACUAGCGCUAAUACCGGAUACGCCCUUUUGGGGAAAGGCUUGCUGCCGAAGGAUCGGCCCGCGUCUGAUUAGCUAGUUGGUGGGGUAAUGGCCUACCAAGGCGACGAUCAGUAGCUGGUCUGAGAGGAUGAUCAGCCACACUGGGACUGAGACACGGCCCAGACUCCUACGGGAGGCAGCAGUGGGGAAUAUUGGACAAUGGGCGCAAGUCUGAUCCAGCCAUGCCGCGUGAGUGAUGAAGGCCUUAGGGUUGUAAAGCUCUUUUGUCCGGGACGAUAAUGACGGUACCGGAAGAAUAAGCCCCGGCUAACUUCGUG